Molecule: ribosomal RNA, 510 nt
Filed under: uncultured bacterium
Lineage: Bacteria
Description: partial 16S ribosomal RNA
Rfam family: Bacterial small subunit ribosomal RNA
Source: RNAcentral
GACGAACGCUGGCGGCGUGCUUAACACAUGCAAGUCGAACGAAGAGCGAUGGAAGCUUGCUUCUAUCAAUCUUAGUGGCGAACGGGUGAGUAACGCGUAAUCAACCUGCCCUUCAGAGGGGGACAACAGUUGGAAACGACUGCUAAUACCGCAUACGAUCUAAUCUCGGCAUCGAGGAUAGAUGAAAGGUGGCCUCUACAUGUAAGCUAUCACUGAAGGAGGGGAUUGCGUCUGAUUAGCUAGUUGGAGGGGUAACGGCCCACCAAGGCGAUGAUCAGUAGCCGGUCUGAGAGGAUGAACGGCCACAUUGGGACUGAGACACGGCCCAGACUCCUACGAGAGGCAGCAGUGGGGAAUCUUCCGCAAUGGACGAAAGUCUGACGGAGCAACGCCGCGUGAGUGAUGACGGCCUUCGGGUUGUAAAGCUCUGUUAAUCGGGACGAAAGGCCUUCUUGCGAAUAGUGAGAAGGAUUGACGGUACCGGAAUAGAAAGCCACGGCUAACUACGUG